Perca flavescens (yellow perch) is the source of this 441-nucleotide long non-coding RNA. RefSeq lists it as uncharacterized. The transcript is spliced from 3 exons. The record is from RefSeq and is a predicted model, not a curated record. NCBI's taxonomy places the organism in Eukaryota, Metazoa, Chordata, Actinopteri, Perciformes, Percidae.
UUUUCACCAACAACGGCUGGUGGGCUGAGGCCAAAUGUAAUGACAGUCAACUUCAACAAUGCAUCGAGAACACAAAGUGUGGAGAAACUCCUGUGAUUCCAAAUGGGAAAGUGGUACUUCCACAAAGGCCAGGCCUAAGGCAAAUCCAUGCUAGGAUUACUUGUAACACAGGAUACAGCCCUAACGUUAACUACUUAAGUUGUCACGAGGGAGAAUGGACGUCAAAUAAAAUAUCACCCAACGAUAUUUGUACACCAACUGCCAAGCUCUGCAAACCCCCACCUAAAGUUGAGUAUGCAGUUGUUCGGACAUCUUAUCAGAUGGAAUACUUGUCUGACUCUCCAGUGACUUAUCAGUGCCGUGAUCACUAUCAUAUGGAGGGAGAACACACGAUUCUAUGCAAUGAUGGGGAAUGGGAGGAGAAGAACGUAACAUGCACAC